UACGAGGGGGGCUAGCGUUGCUCGGAAUCACUGGGCGUAAAGGGUGCGUAGGCGGGUUUUUAAGUCAGGGGUGAAAUCCUGGAGCUCAACUCCAGAACUGCCUUUGAUACUGAAGAUCUUGAGUCCGGGAGAGGUGAGUGGAACUGCGAGUGUAGAGGUGAAAUUCGUAGAUAUUCGCAAGAACACCAGUGGCGAAGGCGGCCCACUGGCCCGGUACUGACGCUGAGGUGCGAAAGCGUGGGGAGCAAACAGG
RNAcentral lists this ribosomal RNA (253 nucleotides) under uncultured bacterium. Its description in RNAcentral is "partial 16S ribosomal RNA". It matches the Rfam family "Bacterial small subunit ribosomal RNA", at positions 524 to 776 of the family's 1533-position model. The record is from RNAcentral.